UAUGGAUUGUAAACUGCUUUUAUACNANAAGAAACACUGCUUCGUGAAGCAGCUUGACGGUAUCGUAAGAAUAAGGAUCGGCUAACUCCGUGCCAGCAGCCGCGGUAAUACGGAGGAUCCAAGCGUUAUCCGGAAUCAUUGGGUUUAAAGGGUCCGUAGGCGGUUUAAUAAGUCAGUGGUGAAAGCCCAUCGCUCAACGGUGGAACGGCCAUUGAUACUGUUAAACUUGAAUUAUUAGGAAGUAACUAGAAUAUGUAGUGUAGCGGUGAAAUGCUUAGAGAUUACAUGGAAUACCAAUUGCGAAGGCAGGUUACUACUAAUGGAUUGACGCUGAUGGACGAAAGCGUGGGUAGCGAACA
RNAcentral lists this ribosomal RNA (359 nucleotides) under Flavobacterium sp. Its description in RNAcentral is "bacterial SSU rRNA". It matches the Rfam family "Bacterial small subunit ribosomal RNA", at positions 417 to 774 of the family's 1533-position model. The record is from RNAcentral. Lineage: Bacteria; Pseudomonadati; Bacteroidota; Flavobacteriia; Flavobacteriales; Flavobacteriaceae.